GACGAACGCUGGCGGCGUGCCUAAUACAUGCAAGUAGAACGCUGAAGAGAGGAGCUUGCUCUUCUUGGAUGAGUUGCGAACGGGUGAGUAACGCGUAGGUAACCUGCCUUGUGGCGGGGGAUAACUAUUGGAAACGAUAGCUAAUACCGCAUAACAAUGGAUGACACAUGUCAUUUAUUUGAAAGGGGCAAUUGCUCCACUACAAGAUGGACCUGCGUUGUAUUAGCUAGUAGGAGAGGUAAUGGCUCACCUAGGCGACGAUACAUAGCCGACCUGAGAGGGUGAUCGGCCACACUGGGACUGAGACACGGCCCAGACUCCUACGGGAGGCAGCAGUAGGGAAUCUUCGGCAAUGGGGGCAACCCUGACCGAGCAACGCCGCGUGAGUGAAGAAGGUUUUCGGAUCGUAAAGCUCUGUUGUAAGUCAAGAACGGGUGUGAGAGUGGAAAGUUCACACUGUGACGGUAGCUUACCAGAAAGGGACGGCUAACUACGUG
This 497-nucleotide ribosomal RNA is filed under the name uncultured bacterium. RNAcentral's name for it is "partial 16S ribosomal RNA". It matches the Rfam family "Bacterial small subunit ribosomal RNA", at positions 28 to 507 of the family's 1533-position model. The record is from RNAcentral.